Molecule: long non-coding RNA, 2152 nt
Organism: Magnolia sinica
Lineage: Eukaryota; Viridiplantae; Streptophyta; Magnoliopsida; Magnoliales; Magnoliaceae
Exons: 2
Source: RefSeq, a predicted model, not a curated record
UCUUGAUAUUUCUUGAUAUUUCUAUAAAUAAACAUUCUAAAAUCAGCACAUGUUGGGCCCUACGGUGGGUCGUGGGCUUGCAUCACUUAAAGGUACUAGUAUUGUUUCUUGUCAAUAUCAGUGAUGGCAUGGAUACUUCUAAGGUGUUUAAACAAUAUCAUAUCGUGUUGGGUUCAUAACUUUCUGGGCUCCUAUGAAUUUCAUAUACCUGUUUUCAUAUCCUUGGCCUUGACUUCAGCAAAUGUGGAGUUGUAUUCCUGCUCUCUAUAUCCAUCUCCAUAUCUGCAUCCAUGUCUGCGCAUCAUAACUAAUGCUCAAGAAUGAUUUGAAGGGAUUAAACUUGUUAACAUUAUUCUUAUGGGUAUAAUAAUCAUGUCUAUGAUUAUGACUGAAGUGUACCUGCACAGGUAAAUAAGUGAAACUCAGAGAUAGGGAAUACCCUUUUCCCCCUUUUUGGUAGGUAAGCUGGCUUGAACUUGGGACUUCAAUGUUGAAGCAGACAAUGUCUUCCAUUGAUCCAUGAGCUUGAACCCAGAUAAUAAUCAUUCUAUAGACCAAAACACUGUCUAACAUCCAGAAUGUUUGUUUUCUGUUUCAAAUUGCCGAGGAGUAAAAAAUGUGGACUUCUUUUUCUUGAACUAAAGAACUGAUGUCCAGAACCAAAAUUUCUUGGAGAAAUAAAUUUUUAAAAAAAAAAAAGAAAAAAAAAGAAAAGAAAGAAAGAAGAGCUGCAACCUGGUAUUUGAAGCCACCUAAGCAGUCUUUUGGCAAGAGAUUUAGUUGGUAGAGCCAAUCAUUUUGUUUGCCCAUAUAGUGAGUGGGGCGUAUGAGAUGGCUGAGACUUCGGAUAAAGAGGGUGUCGGUAGAUCUUUUCUACUUGUUGCAAUUUCUUCUCCACUUUUUGACAUACUCAUUCAGUUCUCUGAAAAAAAUUUCUGUCAUUCAUCAGAAAGUCUUCUCACCAGAUAGCAUCAGAACUCCAAAGUAAGCGUCUUGGGCAAAGGCUAGGAUUGGUGAUGGAAGUCCUCAUGCACCCGUUCUCUUUAAUAAUAAUUAUGGAGAAAAGAAGGAAAAGAAACAAAACAAAAGAGGUCUAAGAUGGAAAUUAAAAACUCAAUCUGGCACUUGAGGUAUCACUCAGUUUUCCUUAAAACCUGGGAUGUGAGAACUUAACCAAGCUAUUCUCAGAUUGAACAAGUUUAUAUGACUUGGUAAAUCUUUUGCAAAAAGACCUUAGCAAAAUUUGGAUAAAUUCUAGACAGACUUGUAUGGGAAUUUGAAGUUCUUCCCUCAUAUAAAUAAGGGUGUCUUAAAUGCUUUUGCUAGCAGCUAUGAUCCGGUUAAGUUUGUUAUAAUUGGUUGUUUUUACAUGGUUUGUGGCUGUUGUGUUUUAUUUCUCCUUUUCGUGUCAUUAAUUAAUAUUUAUUUUGAACAAUUAAACAAUGAAAAUCAAUUGGCAAUAUAAAAAAGAAAAAAGAAAAAAAGAAAGGGAGCAUUAACUUUGCUAGCAGCCAGGGAAAAACGGCAACCUGUUAGUUACAUCUGCAGCAAUGAAUAUUCACAAGUUAGCCUCAUAGCCUAGUUAUUACGAUCCACUCUGUGUUCCAAUAAGUACUAGGUCAAGGGUUCAAAUCCUGAUUACCGGGCAGAUAUAAACUUCAAGUUCAGAGAAAGGCGUCCCUUGUCCUUGCACUUAUUUGAUCAUCCUAGUAUCUUACUUGGGUACUACAUUUUCAAGAAUCAGAGUACCAUACAUACACUUAUGGGAUCUAGGAAUGUAGUGGGUUAUGCUGUAUGGUACUUAAUGACCCAACAUUACAUUUUUUGGAGAAUCGGUUGUGUGUACAUAACAAGAGUUGUGCGAGCAAACUUCAAAGAGAAUACAUGAACUGUGCAGUAAAUGAUGGUUUGAAGUUUGCUAUGGGUUUGUUACGUAGAUGAUAGGAUUAAAAAUCUGACUGGGGUGGAAACAAUAAAGGAUACACCUCUAUCUAUCGUAUCCCUCUGUGAGGAAACUUCAUAUCAUGGAGUGGCUGGGAACAUUUCUUUCACAUUCAGUCAUCGAAGCGAGUGUAUAGAGAUGGCAAAUUGUUUGACUUAAAAAAAAAAAAAAUCCAAAUUUAUGUUCCUCUUCAACGAUUUGUGCUCUCAA